AAAUUCAUGACCUUCAACCUCAUGAACCAUGAAUAUGUAAACGUAGAUAUAUUUUCAUGCAUGUACAGAAACGAGAACAUAUCUUAUAUGGAGCUAAAGGAAGACGAACCCAGCUAGAUUUUCAUCUACAAACAAAGGAAAAUUACGUACUUUAAAUAAAUAGUAAGAAAAUAAAAAAAGAAAUACACAAAAAAAAAAAUUAUAAGAAGAACAUACCCAAAAUAAUUGUUGCAACUUCUAGAAUUUUCUUCUCCACUAUUGAUGACGAGAAAAUACGAAUUAGGCUAAAGGCAAAAGCGAAUAAUGGUAGAAGGACGACCUUUUUUCUUUUUUUUUUUUU
This 340-nucleotide long non-coding RNA is filed under the name Olea europaea (common olive). RNAcentral describes it as "long non-coding RNA (OEUR_LNC010174)". The record is from RNAcentral. Lineage: Eukaryota; Viridiplantae; Streptophyta; Magnoliopsida; Lamiales; Oleaceae.